CAUUUUCCCAUGACAGCUCAGCAGAUUAAAGCUGAUGGCAGCUGCCCCUUGUGGGGCUUGAACACCCUCCAGACCCCACAGCAUGGCCCCAUCUCCAGCUCCUGACCAUGCUGCUCAUGGAAGCGUACUUGCCUGGCUCCUCACUGCAAGGCAGCUGAGCUUUCUGACCCCUGAGUCAAAUAUCCCUUAGCUCCUGUUAUUUUUAAAAUUAUUUUUCUAGGAAAUAAGUAAAUCUAUUUUCAUUUUUAUUUUUUUAAUUUUAACCCAGAAUGUGGCAAAUAUGCAUAUAUAUAUACAAUGGAAUAUUAUUCAGUCUUUAAAAAGAAUGAAAUCCUUAGCUCUUUGUAAACCUUCCUCUCUUUCAUCUCCUGCUCUUUUUCCAGCCUCUUCACUCAUAACAGCCAAAAGUGGUUUUCUUGUCCUGAGAAUCUCAUUAAAUUAUUUUUAUGAAACACCAUAGAUAGAACUUGGACAGGGCUCACACUGACUUUCUUAUGGGGUGUAAAAAAAGUAAAAGACCAAGGGUCCAGAGAAAUGAUGUUUUGCUCUAGAUCUGCCUGCAGCCUAUUUGGUAACCACUGUAUCCUUGGCGACAGCACCACGCCUAGCAACAAGAAGAUGCUUGGUUACACACCUUACCAGGGUCUCCGGGAUUUGCCACUUAACCAGUUGGUCCUCAAGUUUCAUCCAGCUCUGGUUUCUGUGACUCUACUCCCAGGGACUGAAGCACAGCUCCAAAUGCAACUGAAUCUGGGCCUCUACCUGCCAGCCACCAAUCCCUCCCCUGAGCCCAGUGACUUCUAAGCGCUGCUCAGAAGGAUCUGCCACAACUCAGUCCUGUCCUUUUGUUUGGAGUCCUUCCCUACAAUGACCUAACUCUGUGUUGCCAACCAAGAGGCCGCCUCUCCCUCUCUCCCUGGCCCCCUUCCCUCCCCACCCCAAUCCCUACCACAGCUCUUGGGUGCACAUGUGCUCUCCCUCUUUCAAACAGACAAAUAAAAUCUUUUUAAAAAUAAAAUCA
Molecule: long non-coding RNA, 1021 nt
Filed under: Vulpes vulpes (red fox)
Lineage: Eukaryota; Metazoa; Chordata; Mammalia; Carnivora; Canidae
Description: lncRNA (ENSVVUG00000026499.1)
Source: RNAcentral